Molecule: long non-coding RNA, 1990 nt
Filed under: Triticum aestivum (bread wheat)
Lineage: Eukaryota; Viridiplantae; Streptophyta; Magnoliopsida; Poales; Poaceae
Description: long non-coding RNA (TAES_LNC003284)
Rfam family: MIR1120/MIR1122 microRNA precursor family (bases 1150-1264)
Source: RNAcentral
GUUGGCUUUGUUCAUUGUUUAUUCUGAUGCUCGAUAGAGGUAGUUUGAGGUGUACGAAGAUGUGGACAUAUUGCAGAAACUUUGGCUUUGAUGUGUACCGGUAUGUGGCCUAAUCCCUCUGUCUGUAGAUUAGCUAAUUCCCAAUUCAGAAAAGAAAACUAUUUGCCAAGACAGGUUGUGAGAACAUGUAAAUUGUACUAUUAUUGACAGUGCGGACAGAGAAUGGGCAGCCCGGUGCAUGUAGCUCCCGCUUGCGCAGGGUCGGAGAAGGGUCCGACCACUUUGGGUCUAUAGUACGCAGCCUUUCCCUACAUUUCUGUAAGAGGCUGUUUCCAGGACUUGAACCCGUGACCUCAUGGUCACAAGGCAGCAGCUUUACCACUGCGCCAAGGCUCCCCUUCCAUUAAAAACAUGUCAGUUCAGCUCAAUUCAGAGUGUUAGUGUUUGGAGAUUCUACAUAUGUAGUAACCUUUUUCAAGCUAGAGUGGCGGGCUUUCAAAACUACUGGAGUUCUGUACACUUUAUGGGUUCUUGAGGUGUCAAGUAGAUGUGUGUAUGAUUGGUAGCUAAUUCUGUAUGUGGGGGUAAUUCUUAUGCAGUCAUGUACCUUCCGUUGAAAUACCACACAACUCCUUUGCCUAUUAGAAUUAUAGAUACCACAAAGCAACCGUUAUGGCAAUUUGUCAAAUGUAGAUGUUCCUUCUAGACUUUAGAUAGAUAUAUGUAUUUCUUGGAAGUAAGCACAUGGUAAAAAAAUAGGCUCAUAUUCAUGAAGGAAAGUGCCACUGACCCUCACAUGGUAGGCUGAGACCAAAAUAGUGUUUCGAUUCUCUUCUCUGUAUAAUUAAUUUGCAUUUCCCUAUGGUGACAUAGAAUCGCAUGCGCAUGCUUUAAGUUGUUCCUCAAUUUAUUUUUUGGUCAACUUCAGGAAAUUAAGGAGCUCAGGACCAUAUACAUUCAGUCUAUCUAUAUAUACAGCAGUAAAUAACCUCAGCCAUCAGGUAAAUUCUUGCCUUCAGGUUACCUAUGAUGUGAAUCAUUCAAGUAAGGAUAAGCUAGCUUAUUAUCCUAGAAACUGCUAUUAGAAGAUGCCAUAAUCUGAAUAGUUAGCCAUCUGUUAAAAGCACAUCCACUUAAAUUUAUUUCUUGCAUGUACUCCCUCCGUUCGGAAUUACUUGUUGCGAAAAUGGAUGUAUCUAGAACUAAAAUACGUCUAGAUACAUCCAUUUCUGCGACGAGUAAUUCCGAACGGAGGAAGUAUAAGUUUUGGAUUGCGCAACUGCGCUAUGCAUACCAGUUCUGCUUGUUUAUAUGUUACUAAAAUAUUGCAUACAUAUCUACCGACAUAUAUGUAAUACUCUAUCAAAAUGAGAAUGGAUGGGAUAUUCCUAUCUUUCAUAGGUCUGCAUACUAUAUAAGCAUCCGAAGGCCUUCUAGCUAGCACCCUCCUGCAAUCACCCCCCAUGAGUGUAGGUAUGCUACUCAUAUGUUUCUCUCAUUUUCCCCUAGAAUUCUCCAUAUAUUUUUCACCUCCGCUUCUGUUUUACCCUCCCUUCCAUGCCCCUUCAGCAGCUGCAGCCUUUACUUAUCUUCUUCAUCCAAUAUGUCUGCAAGGUCUGUUAUUUUCAGGAUAUGAUGCUUUAGAGUCUGUUUUGUAUGCAUGUCAAUGCAGAUAUUUGGAAUAGACAGGGCCACAAUCCAAUAUGGUUUUGAUGCGAUCAGAAAUCCCAAUAUAGGAAAUAUGACGCCUUUUCGUGUGUUGUAUUUUGAUGGGAAAUUUACAUAGUUGAACAUUAUGGUUUCAUACCAGCUAAUGACGAAAUGUGAACUAUUUUUUGUUUUUAUUGGUAAAAAAAUGUGGCAACUCGCUAACAAGGGAAAAUCAUUACUCCCUUUUAUAUUUAUAAUAAUUCCGAUCUAUCUGAGGCUACUUGUGAAUUACUAAAUUAGUGUUGUUUUUGUUCAAUUUCUAUAAUGCGGGUAUAGUUGA